UACGUAGGGUGCAAGCGUUGUCCGGAAUUAUUGGGCGUAAAGAGCUCGUAGGCGGUCUGUUGCGUCUGCUGUGAAAACCCGGGGCUUAACCCCUGGCUUGCAGUGGAUACGGACAGACUAGAGGUAGGUAGGGGAGAAUGGAAUUCCCGGUGUAGCGGUGAAAUGCGCAGAUAUCGGGAGGAACACCGGUGGCGAAGGCGGUUCUCUGGGCCUUACCUGACGCUGAGGAGCGAAAGCGUGGGGAGCGAACAGG
Molecule: ribosomal RNA, 253 nt
Filed under: uncultured bacterium
Lineage: Bacteria
Description: partial 16S ribosomal RNA
Rfam family: Bacterial small subunit ribosomal RNA
Source: RNAcentral